UACAGAGGUCUCAAGCGUUGUUCGGAAUUACUGGGCGUAAAGCGCGCGCAGGCGGCUAUCCAAGUCAGUGGUGAAAGCCCGGAGCUCAACUCCGGAACUGCCAUUGAAACUGUUUAGCUUGAGGAUGAGAGAGGUGAGUGGAAUUCCCAGUGUAGAGGUGAAAUUCGUAGAUAUUGGGAAGAACACCGGUGGCGAAGGCGGCUCACUGGCUCAUUACUGACGCUCAGGCGCGAUAGCGUGGGGAUCAAACAGG
This 253-nucleotide ribosomal RNA is filed under the name uncultured bacterium. Its description in RNAcentral is "partial 16S ribosomal RNA". It matches the Rfam family "Bacterial small subunit ribosomal RNA", at positions 524 to 776 of the family's 1533-position model. The record is from RNAcentral.